AAAAGAGCAGAGAAUGGAUGCCUUGACUCAAAGAUCCGAUGAAGGACGUGGCCAGCUGCGAUAAGCUUCGGCGAGCUGCUAAGCAAGCUUUGACCCGGAGAUUUCCGAAUAGGGAAACCUUAUGAGAGUUAUGUCUCAUAGCCUAGAAAUAGGCGGUAACUAGGGGAACUGAAACAUCUAAGUACCCUGGGAAUAUAAAUCAAUAGAGAUUCCCCCAGUAGCGGCGAGCGAACGGGGAGUAGCCCAAACCAUAUUCUUCGGAGUGUGGGGUUGUAGGACCUCAAUACCUGAAUUAACCAUAUAGCCAAAGGAGCCUGGAAAGGCCCGCCAUAGAGGGUGAUAGCCCCGUCGGCGAAAUAUAGUUAAUUCGGCAGAGUGUUCCUGAGUAGGGUCGGACACGAGAAAUCCGGCUUGAAUCUGGGAGGACCACCUUCCAAGGCUAAAUAGUCUUUGAGAUCGAUAGUGUACUAGUACCGUGAGGGAAAGGUGAAAAGUACCCCGGGAGGGGAGUGAAAUAGAACCUGAAAUUCUUUGCUUAAAAAGAGUAGGAGUCCUUCGGGAUGACUGCGUACUUUUUGUAGAACGGGCCAACGAGUUAGCUGUAUGGUGCAAGCUUAAGGGAGUUAAACCCGUAGGCGUAGCGAAAGCGAGUCUUAACCGGCGAAAUUAGUAUCAUGCACUAGACCCGAAACCAGGUGAGCCAUCCAUGGGCAGGUUGAAGGUGGGGUAAGACCCACUGAAGGACCGAACCGACUCGCGUUGUAAGGCGACCGGAUGACCUGUGGAUAGCGCAGAAAUUGCUAUCGAACCUGGAGAUAGCUGGUUCUUUCCGAAAUAGCUUUAGGGCUAGCCUCGUGAUGAGAGCAUGGGGGGUAGAGCACUGUUUAGGCUAGGGGGCGAAAUAAGUCUACCAAACCUAGACAAACUCCGAAUACCCAUGUGUCGUGCACGGGAGUCAGACUGUGACAGCUAAGUGCCACAGUCGAAAGGGAAACAGCCCAGACCGCCAUUUAAGGUCCCAAAUAGAAGUUCAGUGGAAAAGGAUGUGAGAUUGCAGAUACAACCAGGAGGUUGGCUUAGAAGCAGCCAUUCCUUUAAAGAGUGCGUAAUAGCUCACUGGUCUAUGCGAUCUUGCGCCGAAAAUACAACGGGGCUUAAACUUCUAACCGAAAAUGCGGGCUUCAAUUUAUUGGAGCGGUAGGAAAGCGUUCGCAUCAGCGCUGAAGUCAGACUGUGAAGUCUGGUGGAGCGGUGUGAAGUGCAAAUGUUGGCAUGAGUAACGUCAUCAGAGUGAAAAACUCUGACACCGAAAGCCCAAGGUUUCCCAAGCUACGUUAAUCGACUUGGGGUUAGUCGGUCCUAAGGUGAAGGCGAAAGCCGUAGCCGAUGGACAACAGGUUAAUAUUCCUGUACAUCAUGCAGAUCGCCCAAGCAAAGCUGGAGUGCGAUUUCGUUUCAAUUUGAUCCCUUCGGGGUGACAAGCGAAGCCUUAUCAAGCGAAAGUGGCGCUAGUUUCGGGGUGACGCCGCAGGAUAAUCCAAGCAUAUCAAUGAAUUUGUGUACAAGCGUUAAGCUUAUGUCUGUCUAGGUAAAUCCGUUCAGAUUCGCAAAACGUUAUGUAGAUGACCAUUUGGUCAGAUUUGGAUGACUUCAGCGGACGAGAAAACCCUCGUUACGAGAGCUGUAUGAUACCGUACCGUAAACCAACGCUGGUGGGUAGGUAGAGAAUACUAAGGUGAUCGGGAUAACUAUGUUUAAGGAACUCGGCAAAACAGCAGGCGUAACUUCGGGAUAAGCCUUGCCUGCAUCUUGUGAUUUAUCAUUAUGAUGUAGGCCGCAGCGAAAGAGCUCAUGCAACUGUUUACCAAAAACACAGGUCCGUGCUAAGUCGUAAGACGAUGUAUACGGGCUGACUCCUGCCCAGUGCCAGAAGGUUACGAGGAUGGGUUCACGCCUUGAAUCUAAGCCCUGGUGAACGGCGGCCGUAACUAUAACGGUCCUAAGGUAGCGAAAUUCCUUGUCUGGUAAGUUCAGACCCGCACGAAUGGAGUAAUGAUGUGAGCACUGUCUCAAACAUAGACCCGGUGAAAUUGCAAUAUCGGUAAAAAUGCCGAUUAGUUGUGGCAGGACGGAAAGACCCCGUGCAGCUUUACUAUAGUUUGACAUUGAUUCUGGGCACUAUUUGUGCAGAAUAGGUGGGAGACUUUGAAGCCAGGGCGCAAGCCCCGGUGGAGUCAUCUUUGAGAUACCACCCCGAUUUUGUUUAGAAUCUAACUCAAUUCAAUUUGAGGACAGUGUUUGAUGGGUAGUUUAACUGGGGCGGUUGCCUCCUAAAGAGUAACGGAGGCGCGCAAUUGGUCAGCUAGUUCCGGAUGGAAAUCGGAAUUGUCGUGUAUUCGCACAAGCUGGCUUGACUGUAAGGCCUACAAGCCGAGCAGGUACGAAAGUAGGUGAAAAUGAUCCGGUACCACCAUGUGGGUGGGGUAUCGCUCAACGGAUAAAAGUUACGCCGGGGAUAACAGGCUAGUCGCUUCCAAGAGUUCAUAUCGACGAAGCGGUUCGGCACCUCGAUGUCGGCUCGUCGCAUCCUGGGGCUGGAGAAGGUCCCAAGGGUAUGGCUGUUCGCCAUUUAAAGCGGUACGCGAGCUGGGUUCAGAACGUCGUGAGACAGUUCGGCCCCUAUCCGCCACAACUGUAGGAAAAUUGAAGGAAGCUGUCCCUAGUACGAGAGGACCGGGAUGGACGAACCCCUGGUGUACCAGUUGUCGUGUCAACGGCAUGGCUGGGUAGCUACGUUCGGCUUGGAUAACCGCUGAAAGCAUCUAAGCGGGAAGCCAGACCUAAGAAAAUUUUCCCCAUGAACCUCCUUGAAGAUUACAAGGUUGAUAGGCCACAGGUGUAAGCACAGCGAUGUGUGUGCCGAGUGGUACUAAUAGGUCAUUGAUGAAUUA
This 2951-nucleotide ribosomal RNA is filed under the name invertebrate metagenome. RNAcentral's name for it is "bacterial LSU rRNA". It matches the Rfam family "Bacterial large subunit ribosomal RNA". The record is from RNAcentral.